RNAcentral lists this ribosomal RNA (90 nucleotides) under vertebrate environmental sample. RNAcentral's name for it is "partial 12S ribosomal RNA". The record is from RNAcentral. Lineage: Eukaryota; Metazoa; Chordata.
UAGAUACCCCACUAUGCUUAGCCUUAAACCUAAAUAAUUUUACAUACAAAAAUAUUUGCCAGAGAACUACUAGCUACAGCCUAAAACUCA